GUACGGGAGGCAGCAGUGGGGAAUAUUGGACAAUGGGCGCUAGCCUGAUCCAGCCAUGCCGCGUGUGUGAAGAAGGCCUUCGGGUUGUAAAGCACUUUCAGCGAGGAGGAAGGGAGUUGUGUUAAUAGCACAGCUUCUUGACGUUACUCGCAGAAGAAGCACCGGCUAACUCUGUGCCAGCAGCCGCGGUAAUACAGAGGGUGCAAGCGUUAAUCGGAAUUACUGGGCGUAAAGCGCACGUAGGCGGUUUUUUAAGUCAGAUGUGAAAGCCCCGGGCUCAACCUGGGAAUUGCAUUUGAAACUGGAAAACUAGAGUGUGUGAGAGGGGGGUAGAAUUCCAAGUGUAGCGGUGAAAUGCGUAGAGAUUUGGAGGAAUACCAGUGGCGAAGGCGGCCCCCUGGCACAACACUGACGCUCAGGUGCGAAAGCGUGGGGAGCAAACAGGAUUAGAUACCCGAGUAGUCCC
This 466-nucleotide ribosomal RNA is filed under the name uncultured bacterium. RNAcentral's name for it is "bacterial SSU rRNA". It matches the Rfam family "Bacterial small subunit ribosomal RNA", at positions 339 to 797 of the family's 1533-position model. The record is from RNAcentral.